GUGAAUCAUCGAAUCUUUGAACGCAAAUUGCACUCCCUGGUAUUCUGGGGAGUAUGCCUGUUUGAGGGUCGUUACAAUAAAAAAUCGCUGCGUCGCUCUUUUUUUUAAGGGUGCUCGCGUCGUCAUUGAGCCGUCUUUCACAUGUUAAUUUAUGUCAAAGUGUCUUGAAAUUCAUCCCUCCGUCACGAUUGAUCC
Molecule: unclassified non-coding RNA, 195 nt
Filed under: Glomeraceae sp.
Lineage: Eukaryota; Fungi; Glomeromycota; Glomeromycetes; Glomerales; Glomeraceae
Description: partial contains 5.8S ribosomal RNA and internal transcribed spacer 2
Rfam family: 5.8S ribosomal RNA (bases 1-71)
Source: RNAcentral